GACGAACGCUGGCGGCGUGCCUAAUACAUGCAAGUCGAGCGGACUUAUAAAGCUUGCUUUUUAAGUUAGCGGCGGACGGGUGAGUAACACGUGGGCAACCUGCCUGUAAGACUGGGAUAACUUCGGGAAACCGGAGCUAAUACCGGAUAAUCCUUUUCUACUCAUGUAGAAAAGCUGAAAGACGGUUUACGCUGUCACUUACAGAUGGGCCCGCGGCGCAUUAGCUAGUUGGUGAGGUAACGGCUCACCAAGGCGACGAUGCGUAGCCGACCUGAGAGGGUGAUCGGCCACACUGGGACUGAGACACGGCCCAGACUCCUACGGGAGGCAGCAGUAGGGAAUCUUCCGCAAUGGACGAAAGUCUGACGGAGCAACGCCGCGUGAGUGAUGAAGGUUUUCGGAUCGUAAAGCUCUGUUGUUAGGGAAGAACAAGUACGAGAGUAACUGCUCGUACCUUGACGGUACCUAACCAGAAAGCCACGGCUAACUACGUG
RNAcentral lists this ribosomal RNA (494 nucleotides) under uncultured bacterium. RNAcentral describes it as "partial 16S ribosomal RNA". It matches the Rfam family "Bacterial small subunit ribosomal RNA", at positions 28 to 507 of the family's 1533-position model. The record is from RNAcentral.